Molecule: long non-coding RNA, 490 nt
Filed under: Vigna radiata
Lineage: Eukaryota; Viridiplantae; Streptophyta; Magnoliopsida; Fabales; Fabaceae
Description: long non-coding RNA (VRAD_LNC011958)
Source: RNAcentral
AUCAAUCAAUGCCUCUCCUAAAUCUACAUCAUUGAUAAUGCAAAGAAGGGUCAACGCUCCUGAAUCCUCUAAUUUCUGUGGAUGGUUCUUCUUCCGGGGUUUCACCCACUGCUCCUGAUUUUCUUCAUAGCCCAGAUUAAGUAACUUUCCCAAAUAGUACUUGAUCAUCUCAUCACAUUCAGAAGUUUGUGAAGAUGUUCUAGGAUUAAUGGCCGCCUCCUUAAGAAUCUUGCGGAGUGAUUCUUUAAUAUCUUCCUUCUCCUUUUCUCUUUCUGUUUUCUUCUCUUCGCCUUUCUUAUGCUCAAUAUUAAUCCUUUCCUCCUCUCCGUCCUCACUGCUUUCGAUCUCAAUUAUUUCCUCCUCUGGCUUCCUUUUUCCUCCUAUUGUAACAACUUUGCACUCAUCUUUUGCGUUAACAUCAGUAUUAGCCCGAAAUUGAUGUUUCUCUGUGGUUUCAACCCUCUUAGACAGUUGUCCUAUUUGUGUCUCU